UAGAUGAUGAUCCCAAGCCUUCUGGCGAUCUAGACAAAACAAGUCCACCGUGGGCUUUGAAAAACGCUUUCCUUGAUAAAAUUUAAGCGUUUUAUAAGAGGAUGCCGGGGAAGGUUUUCCGGUUUAUCCCGGAGGGCUUGUAGCUCAGUUGGUUAGAGCGCGCGCUUGAUAAGCGUGAGGUCGGAGGUUCAA
This 192-nucleotide unclassified non-coding RNA is filed under the name uncultured Bartonella sp. RNAcentral's name for it is "partial 16S-23S ribosomal RNA intergenic spacer". The stretch from base 134 to 192 matches the Rfam family "tRNA", at positions 1 to 56 of the family's 71-position model. Lineage: Bacteria; Pseudomonadati; Pseudomonadota; Alphaproteobacteria; Hyphomicrobiales; Bartonellaceae. The record is from RNAcentral.